Molecule: ribosomal RNA, 253 nt
Filed under: uncultured bacterium
Lineage: Bacteria
Description: partial 16S ribosomal RNA
Rfam family: Bacterial small subunit ribosomal RNA
Source: RNAcentral
UACGUAGGGUGCAAGCGUUGUCCGGAAUUAUUGGGCGUAAAGAGCUCGUAGGCGGUUCGUCGCGUCGGCUGUGAAAACCCGAGGCUCAACCUCGGGCCUGCAGUCGAUACGGGCGGACUGGAGUUCGGCAGGGGAGACUGGAAUUCCUGGUGUAGCGGUGAAAUGCGCAGAUAUCAGGAGGAACACCGGUGGCGAAGGCGGGUCUCUGGGCCGAUACUGACGCUGAGGAGCGAAAGCGUGGGGAGCAAACAGG